This 662-nucleotide ribosomal RNA is filed under the name uncultured bacterium. RNAcentral describes it as "bacterial SSU rRNA". It matches the Rfam family "Bacterial small subunit ribosomal RNA", at positions 99 to 790 of the family's 1533-position model. The record is from RNAcentral.
CGGGCGGGUGAGUAACACGUGAGAAUCUGCCUUUAGGAGGGGGAUAACAACUGGAAACGGUUGCUAAUACCCCAUAUGCUUUCGAGUGAAACGGAUUUAUCUACCUAGAGAGGAGCUCGCGGCUGAUAGCUUGUUGGUGGGGUAAAGGCCUACCAAGGCGACGAUCAGUAUCUGGUUUGAGAGGACGAUCAGACACACUGGAACUGAGACACGGUCCAGACUCCUACGGGAGGCAGCAGUGGGGAAUUUUCCGCAAUGGGCGAAAGCCUGACGGAGCAAUACCGCGUGAGGGAAGACGGCCUAUGGGUUGUAAACCUCUUUUCUCAGGGAGGAACUCAAUGACGUGUACCUGAGGAAUAAGCAUCGGCUAACUCCGUGCCAGCAGCCGCGGUAAGACGGAGGAUGCAAGUGUUAUCCGGAAUCACUGGGCGUAAAGCGUCUGUAGGUGGUUUAAUAAGUCAACUGUUAAAUCUUGAGGCUCAACUUCAAAAUCGCAGUCGAAACUAUUAGACUAGAGUAUAGUAGGGGUAAAGGGGAAUUUCCAGUGGAGCGGUGAAAUGCGUAGAGAUUGGAAAGAACACCGAUGGCGAAGGCACUUUACUGGGCUAUUACUAACACUGAGAGACGAAAGCUAGGGUAGCAAAUGGGAUUAGAUACCCCAG